AGAAGUUUUACAUAAAGCAUUCUUCUCAUUUCGUUCAUGACGUCAGACGUCUGCUGUCACAGACACCUCAAUAAAAUAACGACUUUUGCUGUUUAAUUCAAUGCCCAGACUUUUCUGGCUGGCUCUUCCACCAGCAUCAUCACUACGGAACAUACAAUUAGUUAGACAGAUGCGCGGGCAGAUAUGGGUAAACUUGUCUGCCAUUCAAGCGGCCCCACGAGUGCUGAUAGGAAGGAGAGUCAUCUGAUGCGAAUGCAGCUAGUCAGUCAGUCAAGGAGGCCAGCAUGCUUACAGCACAACCAUCCCUACUACUGCUCCAUUACAUAUUAUACCGUUUUUAUAUUCGGGUACGUAUGCUUGUAGCACUCGCAUUGCAGUAAUAUGAUUCACUUCAUUUGAGAAGCUCAUUUGACGGCGCUUAGCAACAAUGUUGAUGCGACGACUACCGAAGUGGUGGGAAUAAAAAUAUGUGCUAAUAAAAUUUUAGCUUAAUUUGGAAAUUUAAUUUGACAUAUAAAAAAUAAAAUAAAAAACAAUAAUGAUAUAAUAUAGUAUAUACAAAUAUAAUAAAAUAAAGUGAAAAAGGGUAACAUAAAUAGAAUAAAGUAUAGUAAUCAAAUACUUUAGAUAUGCAAGUGAUAACAGAAAGUGGUAUCAAAAAAGACAACAUAAUGUUAGUUACAAAUAUUUAGGAAUUGUAUGGUAAUUAAAAAACUUUGUCAGGUAAAUAAAAUUAUGAAUCUUUCUAUAAUUGGUU
Bactrocera oleae (olive fruit fly) is the source of this 757-nucleotide non-coding RNA. The record is from RefSeq and is a predicted model, not a curated record. NCBI's taxonomy places the organism in Eukaryota, Metazoa, Arthropoda, Insecta, Diptera, Tephritidae.